This 500-nucleotide ribosomal RNA is filed under the name uncultured bacterium. RNAcentral's name for it is "partial 16S ribosomal RNA". It matches the Rfam family "Bacterial small subunit ribosomal RNA", at positions 28 to 507 of the family's 1533-position model. The record is from RNAcentral.
GACGAACGCUGGCGGCGUGCCUAAUACAUGCAAGUCGAGCGGACUGAUUAAGAGCUUGCUCUUAUGACGUUAGCGGCGGACGGGUGAGUAACACGUGGGCAACCUGCCCUGUAGAUCGGGAUAACACCGAGAAAUCGGUGCUAAUACCGGGUAAUAUCUGAGAUCACAUGAUCUUAGGUUAAAAGAUGGCUCCGGCUAUCACUACAGGAUGGGCCCGCGGCGCAUUAGCUAGUUGGUAAGGUAAUGGCUUACCAAGGCGACGAUGCGUAGCCGACCUGAGAGGGUGAUCGGCCACACUGGGCCUGAGACACGGCCCAGACUCCUACGGGAGGCAGCAGUAGGGAAUCUUCCGCAAUGGACGAAAGUCUGACGGAGCAACGCCGCGUGAGUGAUGAAGGGUUUCGGCUCGUAAAGCUCUGUUGUUAGGGAAGAAACAGUACCGAACGAACUAGGUCGGUACCUUGACGGUACCUAACCAGAAAGCCACGGCUAACUACGUG